RNAcentral lists this long non-coding RNA (1162 nucleotides) under Sus scrofa (pig). RNAcentral describes it as "lncRNA (ENSSSCG00005028082.1)". Lineage: Eukaryota; Metazoa; Chordata; Mammalia; Artiodactyla; Suidae. The record is from RNAcentral.
CCCGGGAGAGGCCGGGCUAGCCGGGGCUUAGGAAGCAUCCCAGGCCCGCGCGGCGGCGCUGAUUCCUGGAAGCACGUCGGUCGGAGGCGGUGGAGCGAGCCCGGAGGCUAAGCCGGGCGGAGGAGCGGAGUCACGCGCUCGGGACCAUUGCUCGCUCCCUCGGCUCAGAGGACCCCCCCAGCUGAGCUGGGCCGCGUAGGGAAACUAUGCCAGGAAUUCGGCCCGGAACCGGCAGGGGGGGGGAGCGUGGUGCAGUCCGAGUGACCCGACCCGCGGGCCUCAGGACGUUAAACAGCCGCGGCUCCCUAGUCCUGCGGGGUGAGGUGCGGGAGCUUCGGACUCUACGCCUCAGCUUCGCCUCUUGAGCCUGGCGUCCCCACCCUGGCUGCUUGGCCUGAUAGGGACAGAGGUACCCGGAGAGGUGAAUAAAAGCAGUCUGCUGAUAAUUCAGUCUGAAGAAAGCACUUCGUUCCUGCUCUCUGGGGUGUGUGGUUUCCAGGUAACCAGCAGUAUUCUUACUUGGCUUUGUCUUUGCCCAUCCCAUCCAGGACCCAAAGCUGUGGAGCUGAACCGUGUUUGGCUAAAUUCUGCCAGGAUACAGGUAGAAUUUAGGGUCUCUGACACUGACCUUUUGUGAUUUGCACUAAACUCUUUCUAUCCUUGCAGUUUGUUCAAGAAAUCUCAGGUAUUAUAAUUUACAAAAUGGGAAAUGAUUGAUGUAUCAUCAUCAUCAUUGGGAGGUGGUUUGCCAUAAUUUAAAAGCUUUGGAGUCAGAAUUUAAUUUGAAUCUUGGCUUCCUUACUUAGUAAUUGAGCAACCUGGGGACUUGGGGCAGGUCCCUUAGUUUCUCUGAGCCUCACUUUCUGCAUCAAUCAGUUGAGAUGAAUCAUAACUACAUACAAAGCUGUUUGCUGACUAGAAAUAGUUCUAUUAAAUGCUGACACAGGAGUCCCUGUUGUGGUGCAGUGGAAACAAAUGUGACUAGUUUCCAUGAGGAUGAAGAUUUGAUCCCUGGCCUCGAUCAGUGGUUAAGGAUCUGGCAUUGCUGUGAGUUGUGGUGUAGGUCGAAGAUGAGGCUUCGAUCCCACAUUGCUGUGGCUGUAGCUGUGGCUGGCAGCUGCAGCUCUGAUUGGACCCCUAGCCUGGGAACUUCCAUAUGCCA